GUGCUCGCUUUGGCAGCACAUAUACUAAAAUUGGAACAAUACAGAGAAGACUAGCAUGGCCCCUUCGCAAGGAUGACACGCAAACUCAUGAAGCGUUCCACAUUUUU
This is a small nuclear RNA of Pan paniscus (pygmy chimpanzee), 107 nucleotides long. The record is from Ensembl. Lineage: Eukaryota; Metazoa; Chordata; Mammalia; Primates; Hominidae.